RNAcentral lists this ribosomal RNA (1429 nucleotides) under uncultured organism. Its description in RNAcentral is "16S ribosomal RNA". It matches the Rfam family "Bacterial small subunit ribosomal RNA". The record is from RNAcentral.
ACAUGCAAGUCGAACGAAGCAAUGAUAAUGAAUUUUUCGGAUGGAUUUCUGAUUGACUGAGUGGGGGACGGGUGAGUACCGCCUGCAUACCCUGCCUCACACUGCGGGAUAACAGUUAAUAAAUGGCUGCUAGUACCGCAUAAUCGCACAGUACCGCUUGGUACGGUGUGAAAAACUCCGGUGGUGUGAGAUGGAUCCGCGUCUGAUUAGCUGGUUGGUGGCGCAACGGCCUACCAAGGCGACGAUCACUAGCCGGCCUGACACGGUGAACGGCCUCAUUGGCACUGAAACACCCUCCAAACUCCUACGGGAGGCAACAUUGGGGAAUAUUGCACAAUGGGGGAAACCCUGAUGCAGCGACGCCGCACGACCCAAUAAGUAUUUCGCUAUGUUAAGCUCUAUCAUACAGGCAAGAAAAUGACCGCACCUGACUAAGAAGCACCGGCUAAAUACGUGCCAACUCCCGCGCUAAUACCUAUGGAGCACGCAUUAUCCGAAUUUACUGCGUGUAAAGGGAGCGUAAACGGAUGUGUAAUUCUGGUGUGAAAGCCCGGGGCUCAACCCCGGCACUGCCUUGGAAACUAUGUAACUACAGUGUCUGAUAAGUGAGCGGAAUUCCUAGUGUAUCCGUGAAAUGCGUAGAUAUUAGGAGGAACACCAGUGGCGAAGGUGGCGUACUGGACGAUCGCUGACGUUGAGGCUAGAAAGCGUGGGGAGCAAACAGGAUUAGAUACACUGGUAGUACAUGCCGUAAACGAUGACUAGUAGGUGUCGGGGAGCAAAGCUCUUCGGUGUCGCAGCAAACGCAAUAAGUAGUCCACUUGGGGAGUACGUUGGCAAGAAUGAAAGUCAAAGGAAUUGUCGGGGAACCGCACAAGCGGUGGAGCAUGUGGUUUAAUUUGAAGCAACGUGAAGAGCUUUACGUGGUCUUGACAUCCCUCUGAACGCUCUUUAAUAGGAGUUUUCAUUCGGGACAGAGGAGACAGUUGGUGCAUGGUUGUCGUCAGCUUGUGUCGUGAGAUGUUGGGGUAAGUGCCGCAACGAGCGCAACCCCUAUCUUCAGUAGCCAGCAUUUAAGGUGGGCACUCUGGAGAGAUUGCCAGGGAUAACUGGAGGAAGGUGGGGAAGACGUCAAAUCAUCAUGCUCCUUAUGACCAGGGCUUCACACGUGAUACAAUGGCGUAAACAAAGGGAAGAGAACCUGUGAGGGGAAGCAAAUGUCAAAAAUAACGUAUCAGUUUGGAUUGUAGUAUGCAACUCGACUACAUGAAUCCGGAAUCGCUAGUAAUCGAGAAUCAGCAUGUCGCGGUGAAUACGUUGCCGGGUUUUGUACACACCGCCCGUCACACCAUGGGAGUCAGUAACGCCGGAAGUCAGUGAACCAACUGUAAGGAGGGAGCUGCCGAAGGUGGGACCGAUAACUGGGGUG